Molecule: ribosomal RNA, 589 nt
Filed under: uncultured bacterium
Lineage: Bacteria
Description: bacterial SSU rRNA
Rfam family: Bacterial small subunit ribosomal RNA
Source: RNAcentral
UCCUACGGGAGGCAGCAGUAGGGAAUCUUCCGCAAUGGACGAAAGUCUGACGGAGCAACGCCGCGUGAGUGAUGAAGGCUUUCGGGUCGUAAAACUCUGUUGUUAGGGAAGAACAAGUGCUAGUUGAAUAAGCUGGCACCUUGACGGUACCUAACCAGAAAGCCACGGCUAACUACGUGCCAGCAGCCGCGGUAAUACGUAGGUGGCAAGCGUUAUCCGGAAUUAUUGGGCGUAAAGCGCGCGCAGGUGGUUUCUUAAGUCUGAUGUGAAAGCCCACGGCUCAACCGUGGAGGGUCAUUGGAAACUGGGAGACUUGAGUGCAGAAGAGGAAAGUGGAAUUCCAUGUGUAGCGGCGAAAUGCGUAGAGAUAUGGAGGAACACCAGUGGCGAAGGCGACUUUCUGGUCUGUAACUGACACUGAGGCGCGAAAGCGUGGGGAGCAAACAGGAUUAGAUACCCUGGUAGUCCACGCCGUAAACGAUGUCUACUUGGAGGUUGUGGCCUUGAGCCGUGGCUUUCGGAGCUAACGCGUUAAGUAGACCGCCUGGGGAGUACGGUCGCAAGAUUAAAACUCAAAUGAAUUGACGGA